UGGACAAACCGGAGGAAGUGGGGAUGACGUCAAGUCCUCAUGGCCCUUAUAGGUGGGGCUACACACGUCAUACAAUGGCCGGUACAGAGGGUAGCCAACCCGCGAGGGGGAGCCAAUCCCACAAAGCCGGUCGUAGUCCGGAUCGCAGUCUGCAACUCGACUGCGUGAAGUCGGAAUCGCUAGUAAUCGCGGAUCAGCAUGUCGCGGUGAAUACGUUCCCGGGUCUU
RNAcentral lists this ribosomal RNA (227 nucleotides) under uncultured Allobrachymonas sp. RNAcentral's name for it is "uncultured Brachymonas sp. partial 16S ribosomal RNA". It matches the Rfam family "Bacterial small subunit ribosomal RNA", at positions 1156 to 1382 of the family's 1533-position model. Lineage: Bacteria; Pseudomonadati; Pseudomonadota; Betaproteobacteria; Burkholderiales; Comamonadaceae. The record is from RNAcentral.